RNAcentral lists this unclassified non-coding RNA (405 nucleotides) under soil metagenome. Its description in RNAcentral is "partial contains 5.8S ribosomal RNA, internal transcribed spacer 2, and large subunit ribosomal RNA". The stretch from base 1 to 120 matches the Rfam family "5.8S ribosomal RNA", at positions 35 to 154 of the family's 154-position model. The record is from RNAcentral.
GAUGAAGACGCAGCGAAAUGCGAUAAGUAAUGUGAAUUGCAGAAUUCAGUGAAUCAUCGAAUCUUUGAACGCACCUUGCGCCCUUUGGCCAUUCCGAAGGGCAUGCCUGUUUGAGUAUCAUGAACACCUCAACUCUUCAUGGUUUUCCAUGAUGAGCUUGGACUUUGGGGGUCUUGCUGGCCUGUGGGUCGGCUCCUCUCAAAUGAAUCAGCUUGCCGGUUUUUGGUGGGCAUCACAGGUGUGAUAACUAUCUACGCUUGUGGUUUUCCACCAGGGUAACCUUCAGCAGUGGAGGUUCACUGGAGCUUACAAAUGUCUCUCCUCUGUGAGGACAGCCCUUUGAAUGUUUGAUCUCAAAUCAGGUAGGACUACCCGCUGAACUUAAGCAUAUCAAUAAGCGGAGGA